GAUGGGAUUAGCUAGUAGGUGGGGUAUUGCUCACCUAGGCGACCAUCCCUAGCUUGUUCUGAGAGGAUGACCAGCCACACUGGAACUGAGACACGGUCCAGACUCCUACCGGAGGCAGCAGUAGGGAAUCUUCCGCAAUGGGCGAAAGCCUGACGGAGCAAUGCCGCGUGAGUGAUGAAGGUUUUCGGAUCGUAAAGCUCUGUUGCCAGGGAAGAACGCUUAGGAGAGUAACUGCUCCUGAGGUGACGGUACCUGAGAAGAAAGCCCCGGCUAACUACGUGCCAGCAGCCGCGGUAAUACGUAGGUGGCAAGCGUUGUCCGGAUUUACUGGGCGUAAAGGGAGCGUAGGCGGAUACUUAAGUGGGAUGUGAAAUACCUGGGCUUAACUUGGGUGCUGCAUUCCAAACUGGGUGUCUAGAGUGUUGGAGAGGAAAGUGGAAUUCCUAGUGUAGCGGUGAAAUGCGUAGAGAUUAGGAAGAACACCAGUGGCGAAGGCGACUUUCUGGACAAUAACUGACGCUGAGGCUCGAAAGCGUGGGGAGCAAACAGGAUUAGAUACCCUGGUAGUCCACGCCGUAAACGAUGGGUACUAGGUGUAGGGGGUAUCGACUCCCCCUGGCCGCCGUUAACACAAUAAGUACCCCGCCUGGGGAGUACG
This 658-nucleotide ribosomal RNA is filed under the name uncultured bacterium. RNAcentral's name for it is "bacterial SSU rRNA". It matches the Rfam family "Bacterial small subunit ribosomal RNA", at positions 234 to 884 of the family's 1533-position model. The record is from RNAcentral.